UGUUUGUCUCUAACUUCGCUGCGUAUACGGUUUGUUUUCCUCUACGAUUAAAUGUGAAAAAGGUUCAAUACUAUCCCAGCUGGAUAUGUCUAUUGGUGAAUGAUUGUACUGAUGGUUGAUCGUAACAAGAUAAUAUGUUCCUCAAUGCCAUCGCAGCUUUGAGUCAAUUAUUACGCAGCAAUUCAAGUAUCACUAGAGCGAUAGUAGGGUGCAUCAGACAACUUUACUUCAAGCAGAAAAUCGAAGAAUGAGCGGAACACGAGUUUUUCACCACAAACUUUUAUUCCAUCACCCACUCCCAGCCUAUCCCCAAACAAUUGGCUCGAUCCAGUCGAGAUAGGCAGCGACCCUGGUAUAGAUAGCCGGCACCGUCGAACCGCACGUCUGACCAAACGACGUUAUCCCGAUGAGGUAGAACACGCAGUGAUUCUCCUGUUUGGUAAUCUGAAGCGGACCUCCCGAAUCACCCUGACAGGUAUCCUUGCCUCCCUGGGCAUUGCCGGCACACAUCUGAGUUUGCAUGAUGCCCUUCUUAAGUUGCCGACUGUUGACGUACCCGCGGCCGCAAACCUCAUUGUCGUAGAUGUUCAGCGAGACCUUCAGCAGUUCGUCCGAUUUAUCGCCAUCUAGCGGGAAGGUACACAAAUCACCAUAAUGGUCUACGAUUUACAAAAUAAAAACUUACGAUCCUCGGUCAGUCCGAAA
This is a long non-coding RNA of Topomyia yanbarensis, 705 nucleotides long. RefSeq lists it as uncharacterized. The record is from RefSeq and is a predicted model, not a curated record. The transcript has 3 exons. NCBI's taxonomy places the organism in Eukaryota, Metazoa, Arthropoda, Insecta, Diptera, Culicidae.